GUGGAUUAGAUACCCGGGUAGUCCUAGCUGUAAACGAUGAGCACUAGAUCGAGGGCCUGCACAGGCUCUCGGUCGUAGCGAAAGUGUUAAGUGCUCCGCCUGGGGAGUAUGGUCGCAAGGCUGAAACUCAAAGAAAUUGACGGGGGCUCACACAAGCGGUGGAGGAUGUGGCUUAAUUCGAGGCUACGCGAAGAACCUUAUCCUGGUCUUGACAUGUUUUAGAACUCUCCUGAAAGGGAGAGGUGCCCGCAAGGGAGCUAUUGCACAGGUGCUGCACGGUCGUCGCCAACU
RNAcentral lists this ribosomal RNA (291 nucleotides) under uncultured bacterium. Its description in RNAcentral is "partial 16S ribosomal RNA". It matches the Rfam family "Bacterial small subunit ribosomal RNA", at positions 773 to 1060 of the family's 1533-position model. The record is from RNAcentral.